UACGAAGGGUGCAAGCGUUACUCGGAAUUACUGGGCGUAAAGCGUGCGUAGGCGGUUUGUUAAGUCCGUUGUGAAAGCCCUGGGCUCAACCUGGGAAUUGCAGUGGAUACUGGCGAGCUAGAGUGCGGUAGAGGAUGGUGGAAUUCCCGGUGUAGCGGUGAAAUGCGUAGAGAUCGGGAGGAACACCUGCGGCGAAGGCGGGUUGCUGGGCUGACACUGACGCUGAUGCGCGAAAGCCAGGGGAGCGAACGGG
RNAcentral lists this ribosomal RNA (253 nucleotides) under uncultured bacterium. RNAcentral describes it as "partial 16S ribosomal RNA". It matches the Rfam family "Bacterial small subunit ribosomal RNA", at positions 524 to 776 of the family's 1533-position model. The record is from RNAcentral.